CCUACGGGUGGCAGCAGUGAGGAAUAUUGGUCAAUGGGCGCGAGCCUGAACCAGCCAAGUAGCGUGAAGGAUGACUGCCCUACGGGUUGUCAACUUCUUUUAUAAAGCAAUUAAUUGAGGCACGUGUGCCUUUUUGUAUGUACUUUAUGAAUAAGGAUCGGCGAACUCCGCGCCAACAGCCGCGGUAAUACGGAGGAUCCGAGCGUCAUCCGGAUUUCUGGGGUUUAAGGGGAGCGUAGAUGGGUUGUUAAGUCAGUUGUGAAAGUUUGCGGCUCAACCGUAAAAUUGCAAUUGAUACUGGCAGUCUUGAGUACAGUGGAGGUAGGCGGAAUUCGUGGUGUAGCGGUGAAAUGCUUAGAUAUCACGAAGAACUCCGAUUGCGAAGGCAGCUUACUAAACUGCAACUGACAUUGAUGCUCGAAAGUGUGGGUAUCAAACAGGAUUAGAUACCCGGGUAGUC
This 460-nucleotide ribosomal RNA is filed under the name uncultured bacterium. RNAcentral describes it as "partial 16S ribosomal RNA". It matches the Rfam family "Bacterial small subunit ribosomal RNA", at positions 338 to 795 of the family's 1533-position model. The record is from RNAcentral.